This 497-nucleotide ribosomal RNA is filed under the name uncultured bacterium. RNAcentral describes it as "partial 16S ribosomal RNA". It matches the Rfam family "Bacterial small subunit ribosomal RNA", at positions 28 to 507 of the family's 1533-position model. The record is from RNAcentral.
GAUGAACGCUGGCGGCGUGCCUAAUACAUGCCAGUCGAGCGAACAGAUGAGGAGCUUGCUCCUCUGACGUUAGCGGCGGACGGGUGAGUAACACGUGGAUAACCUACCUAUAAGACUGGGAUAACUUCGGGAAACCGGAGCUAAUACCGGAUAAUAUAUUGAACCGCAUGGUUCAAUAGUGAAAGACGGUUUUGCUGUCACUUAUAGAUGGAUCCGCGCCGCAUUAGCUAGUUGAUAAGGUAACGGCUUACCAAGGCGACGAUGCGUAGCCGACCUGAGAGGGUGAUCGGCCACACUGGAACUGAGACACGGUCCAGACUCCUACGGGAGGCAGCAGUAGGGAAUCUUCCGCAAUGGGCGAAAGCCUGACGGAGCAACGCCGCGUGAGUGAUGAAGGUCUUCGGAUCGUAAAACUCUGUUAUUAGGGAAGAACAAAUGUGUAAGUAACUAUGCACGUCUUGACGGUACCUAAUCAGAAAGCCACGGCUAACUACGUG